Molecule: long non-coding RNA, 528 nt
Organism: Gossypium raimondii (Peruvian cotton)
Lineage: Eukaryota; Viridiplantae; Streptophyta; Magnoliopsida; Malvales; Malvaceae
Exons: 2
Source: RefSeq, a predicted model, not a curated record
UCUGCAGAAGAAGGGAGAACGCCGUUCCCAUCCUCGAUCGCUUCAUCUUCGAGACCUUCGCCCAUUCAACUCCGUCUCGGAUAGAGGAAAUGAGGGCGUCAAUGCUUCGCAAUGGUGCAUACUGGAAGGAAGACGUGCAUAUCGUGCGUAGAGGCGAUAACUGCUAGCACACACGCACGAAGUGGCCCAAUGUCUGCGGCGCUGCUGAUGCAAAGGAGGCUAGGGUUUUUUUUUUCACAUGUGCUGUUAAGGGCUACAUUGUAGUUGGGCUAGGGUUUGGGCCUAGUGUAUUGGGCCAAGGGUAUUUGGGCUAAUGUAAUUGGGCCUCGUAAAUUAGGUUUUUAAAUGGACUGGACACUUUUAUUUAUUUGUGCCUGGGCUAAAAUUGGGUAUUACAAAGGUUAUGUUCAUUAUUUUGGAAUUAGAAAAGUCGUAUUCUUAACUUACGAAAUAUGACUUCCUUCUAAAGCCGAGAUAAUCAAAUAUUUACUUUAAAAUAAAAAAAAUGAGAUUUAAGUGAUGAUCAAA